RNAcentral lists this ribosomal RNA (460 nucleotides) under uncultured bacterium. RNAcentral's name for it is "partial 16S ribosomal RNA". It matches the Rfam family "Bacterial small subunit ribosomal RNA", at positions 338 to 795 of the family's 1533-position model. The record is from RNAcentral.
CCUACGGGAGGCAGCAGUGAGGAAUAUUGGUCAAUGGACGAGAGUCUGAACCAGCCAAGUAGCGUGAAGGAUGACUGCCCUAUGGGUUGUAAACUUCUUUUAUAAAGGAAUAAAACGAGGCACGUGUGCCUUUUGGCAUGUACUUUAUGAAUAAGGAUCGGCGAACUCCGUGCCCGCAGCCGCGGUAAUACGGAGGAUCCGAGCGUUAUCCGGAUUUAUUGGGUUUAAAGGGAGCGUAGAUGGGUUGUUAAGUCAGUUGUGAAAGUUUGCGGCUCAACCGUAAAAUUGCAAUUGAUACUGGCAGUCUUGAGUACAGUUGAGGUAGGCGGAAUUCGUGGUGUAGCGGUGAAAUGCUUAGAUAUCACGAAGAACCCCGAUUGCGAAGGCAGCUUACUAACCUGUGACUGACAUUGAUGCUCGAAAGUGUGGGUAUCAAACAGGAUUAGAUACCCCUGUAGUC